CGAGUCAUUGUAGCAAUACAAGGCAGACGGCUCAGUAACGCGUAGUCAAUCUACCCUAUGGACGGGAAUAACCUCGGGAAACUGAGAAUAAUGCCCGAUAGAACAUUAUGCCUGGAAUGGUUUAUGUUUCAAAUGAUUUAUCGCCAUAGGAUGGGACUGCGGCCUAUCAGUUUGUUGGUGAGGUAAUGGCCCACCAAGACUAUUACAGGUACGGGCUCUGAGAGGAGUAGCCCGGAGAUGGGUACUGAGACACGGACCCAGGCCCUAUGGGGCGCAGCAGGCGAGAAAACUUUGCAAUGUGCGAAGGCACGACAAGGUUAAUCCGAGUGGUUUCUGCUAAAGAAACCUUUUGUCAGUCCUAGAAACACUAACGAAUAAGGGGUGGGCAAGUUCUGGUGUCAGCCGCCGCGGUAAAACCAGCACCUCAAGUGGUCAGGAUGAUUAUUGGGCCUAAAGCAUCCGUAGCUCGUUUCGUAAGUUUUCGGUUAAAUCCAUGCGCUUAACGUAUGGGCUGCCGGGAAUACUGCAUAACUAGGAAGUGGGAGAGGUAGACGGUACUCGGUAGGAAGGGGUAAAAUCCUUUGAUCUAUUGAUGACCACCUGUGGCGAAGGCGGUCUACCAGAACACGUUCGACGGUGAGGGAUGAAAGCUGGGGGAGCAAACCGGGUUAGAUACCCGGGUAGUCCCAGCUGUAAACUAUGCAAACUCAGUGAUGCAUUGGCUUGUGGCCAAUGCAGUGCUGCA
Molecule: ribosomal RNA, 745 nt
Filed under: uncultured archaeon
Lineage: Archaea
Description: bacterial SSU rRNA
Rfam family: Archaeal small subunit ribosomal RNA
Source: RNAcentral